AUGGAAAUUGUCCAUACAUACGGGAAGCCUGACAUCUUCCUGACCAUGACUUGCAAUCCUAAAUGGGAAGAGAUAACGAAUGAGUUGCUGCCUGGUCAGACGGCGCAAGACUGACCUGAUAUUGUGGCUCGUGUGUUCUACGGCAAACUAGAGGCUAUGAAAGACAUGUUGUUCAAGAAGCAGAUCCUGGGUGUUGUUGUCGCUUAUGUAUACGUAGUCGAGUUCCAAAAAAGGGGCCUC
RNAcentral lists this ribosomal RNA (240 nucleotides) under Triticum aestivum (bread wheat). RNAcentral's name for it is "partial small subunit ribosomal RNA". Lineage: Eukaryota; Viridiplantae; Streptophyta; Magnoliopsida; Poales; Poaceae. The record is from RNAcentral.